UAUGCUGUAGACUAACAGGUAAGUCAUAAAUUUUUGGUGUUUAAAGUUAGGUGUUCGAAUCACCUCAGCAUAA
This 73-nucleotide transfer RNA is filed under the name Graphis lineola. Its description in RNAcentral is "tRNA-Gln". It matches the Rfam family "tRNA". From Rfam's summary of the family: Transfer RNA (tRNA) molecules are approximately 80 nucleotides in length. Their secondary structure includes four short double-helical elements and three loops (D, anti-codon, and T loops). Lineage: Eukaryota; Fungi; Ascomycota; Lecanoromycetes; Ostropales; Graphidaceae. The record is from RNAcentral.